GCGAUCAGGUGAGUACGGGUGGGUUACCCUACCGACUGGACGGGAUAACUUGGGUAACCUGGAGCUAAUACCGGUUACAAUAUAGACCUCCUGGGUUCGAUAGUGAAGGAUCUUUUGGCUGUCACUUAUAGAUGGAUCCGCGGUGCAUUAGCUAGUUGGUAAGGUAACGGCUCACCAAGGCAACGAUGCGUAGCCGACCUGAGAGGGUGAUCGGCCACACUGGGACUGAGACACGGUCCAAACUCCUACGGGAGGCAGCCGUAGGGAAUUUUUGGCAAUGGGCGAAAGUCUGACUGAGCAACGCCGCGUGAGUGAAGAAGGUUUUCGGAUCGUAAAACUCUGUUAUUUGGGAAGAACAAACAUGUAAGUAACUAUUCACGUCUUGACGGUAUCUAAUCAGAAAGCCACGGCUAACUACGUGCCAGCAGCCGCGGUAAUACGUAGGUGGCCAGCGUUUUCCGGAAUUAUUGGGCGUAAAGGGGGCGUAGGCGGUUUUUUAAGUUUGAUGUGAAAGUCCCCCGGCUCAACCGUGGAGGGUCAAUGGAAACUGGGAGACUUGAGUGCAGAAGAGGAAAGUGGAAUUUCAUGUGUAGCGGUGAAAUGGGGAGAAAUAUGGAGGAACACCCGUGGGGAAGGCGGCUUUCUGGUCUGUAACUGACCAUGAAGGUCGAAAGCGUGGGGAACCAACCGGAUUAGAUUCCCUGGUAGUUCCCCCCGUAAACGAUGAGUGCUAAGUGUUAGGGGGUUUCCGCCCCUCAGUGCUGCAGCUAACGCAUAAGCACUCC
Molecule: ribosomal RNA, 785 nt
Filed under: Macrococcoides caseolyticum
Lineage: Bacteria; Bacillati; Bacillota; Bacilli; Caryophanales; Staphylococcaceae
Description: bacterial SSU rRNA
Rfam family: Bacterial small subunit ribosomal RNA
Source: RNAcentral